Molecule: ribosomal RNA, 289 nt
Filed under: uncultured Prevotella sp.
Lineage: Bacteria; Pseudomonadati; Bacteroidota; Bacteroidia; Bacteroidales; Prevotellaceae
Description: partial 16S ribosomal RNA
Source: RNAcentral
CUACUGGGGUAUCUAAUCCUGUUUGAUACCCGCACCUUCGAGCUUCAGCGUCAGUUGUGCUCCCGUAAGCUGCCUUCGCAAUCGGAGUUCUUCGUCAUAUCUAAGCAUUUCACCGCUACACGACGAAUUCCGCCUACGUUGCGCAUACUCAAGUGAACCAGUUCGCGCUGCAAUUCAGACGUUGAGCGUCUACAUUUCACAACACUCUUAAUCCACGGCCUACGCUCCCUUUAAACCCAAUAAAUCCGGAUAACGCCUGGACCUUCCGUAUUACCGCGGCUGCUGGCAC